UAAGCAUGUUAAGCGCCAGAGCUUGCGUGAUGAACGAUCUUGUUGUAGAGCUGGCUGGGAAGCUGAGCUUGAAGCGGGAGUUCAUACGGGAAGCUGACGAGGUGAAGGUGUUCGAAACAUUCGGCGGGGACCUUCCGGUAUUUGCAAGCCAACCGAAAGCCGUUACGUAAAACGGCCGGGCGACCGGUCAUACAAUCGUACGGCAGGCUGCUCA
Molecule: non-coding RNA, 214 nt
Filed under: Paenibacillus sp.
Lineage: Bacteria; Bacillati; Bacillota; Bacilli; Caryophanales; Paenibacillaceae
Description: GlcN6P sequence
Rfam family: glmS glucosamine-6-phosphate activated ribozyme aptamer
About the family: This entry contains a glucosamine-6-phosphate activated ribozyme that is found in the mRNA for GlmS. GlmS is an enzyme that uses fructose-6-phosphate and glutamine to generate glucosamine-6-phosphate. The ribozyme catalyses self cleavage of the glmS mRNA that is thought to regulate GlmS activity.
Source: RNAcentral